UUAGAGUUUGAUCCUGGCUCAGAACGAACGCUGGCGGCGUGGAUAAGACAUGCAAGUCGAACGAGAGAAUUGCUAGCUUGCUAAUAAUUCUCUAGUGGCGCACGGGUGAGUAACACGUGAGUAACCUGCCCCCGAGAGCGGGAUAGCCCUGGGAAACUGGGAUUAAUACCGCAUAGUAUCGAAAGAUUAAAGCAGCAAUGCGCUUGGGGAUGGGCUCGCGGCCUAUUAGUUAGUUGGUGAGGUAACAGCUCACCAAGGCGAUGACGGGUAGCCGGUCUGAGAGGAUGUCCGGCCACACUGGAACUGAGACACGGUCCAGACACCUACGGGUGGCAGCAGUCGAGAAUCAUUCACAAUGGGGGAAACCCUGAUGGUGUGACGCCGCGUGGGGGAAUGAAGGUCUUCGGAUUGUAAACCCCUGUCAUGUGGGAGCAAAUUAAAAAGAUAGUACCACAAGAGGAAGAGACGGCUAACUCUGUGCCAGCAGCCGCGGUAAUACAGAGGUCUCAAGCGUUGUUCGGAAUCACUGGGCGUAAAGCGUGCGUAGGCUGUUUCGUAAGUCGUGUGUGAAAGGCGCGGGCUCAACCCGCGGACGGCACAUGAUACUGCGAGACUAGAGUAAUGGAGGGGGAACCGGAAUUCUCGGUGUAGCAGUGAAAUGCGUAGAUAUCGAGAGGAACACUCGUGGCGAAGGCGGGUUCCUGGACAUUAACUGACGCUGAGGCACGAAGGCCAGGGGAGCGAAAGGGAUUAGAUACCCCUGUAGUCCUGGCAGUAAACGGUGCACGCUUGGUGUGCGGGGAAUCGACCCCCUGCGUGCCGGAGCUAACGCGUUAAGCGUGCCGCCUGGGGAGUACGGUCGCAAGAUUAAAACUCAAAGAAAUUGACGGGGACCCGCACAAGCGGUGGAGUAUGUGGCUUAAUUCGAUGCAACGCGAAGAACCUUACCUGGGCUUGACAUGUAAUGAACAACAUGUGAAAGCAUGCGACUCUUCGGAGGCGUUACACAGGUGCUGCAUGGCCGUCGUCAGCUCGUGUCGUGAGAUGUUUGGUUAAGUCCAGCAACGAGCGCAACCCCUGUUGCCAGUUACCAGCACGUGAAGGUGGGGACUCUGGCGAGACUGCCCAGAUCAACUGGGAGGAAGGUGGGGACGACGUCAGGUCAGUAUGGCCCUUAUGCCCAGGGCUGCACACGUACUACAAUGCCCAGUACAGAGGGGGCCGAAGCCGCGAGGCGGAGGAAAUCCUGAAAACUGGGCCCAGUUCGGACUGUAGGCUGCAACCCGCCUACACGAAGCCGGAAUCGCUAGUAAUGGCGCAUCAGCUACGGCGCCGUGAAUACGUUCCCGGGUCUUGCACUCACCGCCCGUCA
This 1372-nucleotide ribosomal RNA is filed under the name uncultured bacterium. Its description in RNAcentral is "bacterial SSU rRNA". It matches the Rfam family "Bacterial small subunit ribosomal RNA". The record is from RNAcentral.